GAUGAACGCUGGCGGCGUGCUUAACACAUGCAAGUCGAACGAUGAACCAGGUGCUUGCACUUGGGGAUUAGUGGCGAACGGGUGAGUAACACGUGAGUAACCUGCCCCUGACUCUGGGAUAAGCCCGGGAAACUGGGUCUAAUACCGGAUAUGACUGUCCACUGCAUGGUGGGUGGUUGAAAGAUUUAUCGGUGAGGGAUGGACUCGCGGCCUAUCAGCUUGUUGGUGAGGUAAUGGCUCACCAAGGCGACGACGGGUAGCCGGCCUGAGAGGGUGACCGGCCACACUGGGACUGAGACACGGCCCAGACUCCUACGGGAGGCAGCAGUGGGGAAUAUUGCACAAUGGGCGAAAGCCUGAUGCAGCGACGCCGCGUGAGGGAUGACGGCCUUCGGGUUGUAAACCUCUUUCAGUAGGGAAGA
RNAcentral lists this ribosomal RNA (422 nucleotides) under Glutamicibacter bergerei. Its description in RNAcentral is "bacterial SSU rRNA". It matches the Rfam family "Bacterial small subunit ribosomal RNA", at positions 28 to 448 of the family's 1533-position model. Lineage: Bacteria; Bacillati; Actinomycetota; Actinomycetes; Micrococcales; Micrococcaceae. The record is from RNAcentral.